AUUGAACGCUGGCGGCAGGCCUAACACAUGCAAGUCGAACGAGUGGCGGACGGGUGAGUAAUGUCUGGGAAACUGCCUGAUGGAGGGGGAUAACUACUGGAAACGGUAGCUAAUACCGCAUACCAUCGGAUGUGCCCAGAUGGGAUUAGCUAGUAGGUGGGGUAAAGGGUCACCUAGGCGACGAUCCCUAGCUGGUCUGAGAGGAUGACCGGCCACACUGGGACUGAGACCCGGUCCGAACUCCUACGGUAGGCAUCAGUGGGGAUUAUUUGACAAGUGGCGCAAGCCUGAUGCAGCCGUGCCGCGUGUAUGGAGAAGGCCUUCGGGUUGUAAAGUACUUUCAGCGGGGAGGCGUUACCCGCAGAAGAAGCACCGGCUAACUCCGUGCCAGCAGCCGCGGUAAUAC
Molecule: ribosomal RNA, 406 nt
Filed under: uncultured bacterium
Lineage: Bacteria
Description: partial 16S ribosomal RNA
Rfam family: Bacterial small subunit ribosomal RNA
Source: RNAcentral